CUGAGCUAAUUAAUAAGUAAAAAGUGAUUUUAUUAACUACGGAAAGUAGGAUUUUAGUGGUUCCAAGUAGUAAUAGACAGAACAAAGUAAGUCAUCAAGCAAAAUAAAAUGUGCAAAUCUAUGUCUAAUCAAACUGAAUACACAUAAGAUCCUCACCAGUUACAGACAGAAGUAGUCUGGGCACAUUGGGUGGAAGCUCCCAAAGGGGGUUUCUGUGAUCUAACCUGUCAUUGGUGUGGUCAAGCAGGAUCUCUGCACAGCUGAUUGCGUUGAGAUACUGGUAGUGAUUUUAAGUGAGUUUUAAGUGUGGUGGCUGGAGAACAGACAAAAUGGUUACUGGUUUGUUAUUUUCUGUUUGCUUAUUUCGGGUAAGGGAAGUAGGGGCAGAAAAGGAAGUGGAAGAAGGAAGAUCAGAAGAAGCUAAAACUGAGGAGGGUGCAAAUUUCCUAGAAAGGCUGAACACUUGGCACUGUGAAAGGCUCUGUUAACUAAGAAUCCCCUGAGCUGAGUGCAUCCCAGUUUCAGUGAACUGCAGGGGAUGUGGCCCAGCAGAAGAAAGCAGGAAAAUGACUACCAGUGAAGCAUCUAACAAACUAAAACUGGCUAGACAGGAAGCAAAAGAGAAAGAAAAUGAACAUAAAAGACUGAUAGAGAGGGAGGCGGCUGCCCACGAGAGCUAUGGAGGCAGAAGAAUCCAGGGUGGAGGCAGAGGCAGCUGCCCACAAGAGAGCUAUGGAGGCAGAGAUAGCAAGGGUGGAGGCAGAAAAAGCCAGGGAAGAGCUGCCCACAACAGAGCUAGGGAGGCCCAGAACCAUCAACUGGCUGUAAUGGAAUUGAAGAGACCAAACCCUCCACCUGCUGGCUCCACUGCCCCAAAAAUCUGUAAAUGGGAGCAACUGUGUCCACUGUAUGAGGAAUCCAGCGAUAUUGCUGAAUAUUUCAUCAUCUUUGAGAGACUGCACCCUACAUGCCAUCCUUGAAGAUCAAAAGAUGACCACAUUGAUAGCAAAAUUGACUGGAAGAGCUCUGGACAUAUUCAGUAAGAUGCCUAUUGAUGUUGCUUCUAACUAUGGUAAAUUUAAGGAUCUGUUUUUGAAACUGUUUCAGGUUACACCUGAAACCUACAGGGUUAAAUUCAGGAGUCUUAAGAGGGGAUCUGGAUUGAGUAAUGUGGCAUAUGCCAAUGAAAUGAGAGAUUUGGUAGAUAAGUGGGUGCAGGGGAAAGGCAUUACAAGCUUUGAAGGGAUGUGUGAUCUGGUUACUCAAGAACAAUUCCUGAAUAUGUGCAGUGAUGAUGUAAAACAGUAUUUGUGGGACAAAAAGGUAAAUGCAAUGAGUGAAUUAGCUGGAUAUGCCGACUCUUAUGAGCAAGCACAAGCUGCAAUCAAACAUAAACCAUUGGCAGAGGGGUACAGAGUUGGGGGGAAACAAUUAUCACUUUACACCUGGGAAGGAGGAGGCUGGAUGGUCACCUCCCCAUUCCCCUGUUACUUGGCCCAAAUUUCCUGUACAAGCAGGGGAUCCCAGAAGGUGCUUUCACUGCAAUUCCCAAGGGCACCUGAGAAGCAACUGUCCGAAAUUAAUGGAGAGUAAACCUCUCUUGUCCCAGGUUAGCUCAGUUGCCCUUAGCCCUGAGUCCCCAGAGCACUCCUACCUCUUAUCACACCAGCUUGGUGGAUAUGGGGCCUAGUGAAGUAGACAGGGAAUAUAUCAAGGUUAUCAAGACUGAUGGUAUGGAGUGUCUGGGGUGGAGGGAUACAGUGGCUCUGUUCUCUCUGGUUGGACCAAGUGUGCUUCUAGAUGCUAGUGUUCUGAUGGGGCAGACAACCCACAUUAAGGGGGUGGGGCCACAGAGGUUCCCUGUGCCCCUGUCUCAGGUUCAUGUGGAGUGGGAAGGUAUGGAUAGUGAUUUACUGGUGGGAAUGCUCCAAGAUAUCCCUGUGGACAUGUUUCUGGGAAAUGAUUUUUUUCAGCAAAAUUAGGGCUGUUAGUGUGGUAACUCGCAGCAUGAAGAAAAGCUGUGAGGGGCUCCUAGAGGGGGAGGCUGUUCCAGCUGAUGACUGUAGGUCUGAUGCACCUGAACAACUAACACAUCCUGCCCCAGGAAACAUGGGGUGGGUGACUGAGUCCCCAAAAAUGGGGUGGGGACCUUGGAACCCACGGGGGAGGUGAGGGAGGAUCCCAUUGACACUACAGUGCAGAGAGGCAGGGUGCUUCCAAGUAGGAGAGUGGCAGAACCAAGCCUCUGCCCUGCUGAAGACAAUAGGCUCCCGAGGCCAGGGGCAGAGAAGAUGCAGUCAGUGCUCUGGGAUGGGGAUGUUGUCUCAAGGGAUGUCUGUCAGGAAUUUGCAGCUAAACAAAGGGUGGGUAGACCUCUCCCUUGAGAGUAUAUGAAAGUGUGUCUUGGAGGGAACUCCAGGAAGGGAUGGGGGGGAGAAGUUUUUUGAAGAGGAUAGGAAACUAUAGGCAGGCCCCUGUAGGGAAAAACCGUGUCCCAGUUAAGCAGUUGGUUGUACCUAGCCAACACCGGGAGGAAUUAGUGCUGGAAGCACAUGACAGUCCCUUUGCUGGUCACUUGGGGGUACAGAGGACAUAUGACAGGCUGAGGAGGAAUUUCUUCUGGCCAGGGAUACAGAACAAUGUGAGCAGGGGCUACUCCAGGCCCCAGCAUGCCAAGCGUGUGCUUGGGGCAGCAUGCCACGGUGGGCGCUCUGCCGGUCACCGGGAGGGCAGCAGGCAGGGCUCCGGUGGACCUCCCGCAGGCAUGCCUGUGGAGGGUCCGCUGGUCCUGCAGCUUAGGUGGUAUGCCUGCGGAAGGUCCACCGGAGCCGCGGGACCGGUGACUGGCAGAGUGCCCCCUGCGGCAUGCCGCCAUGCUUGGGGCGGCAAAAUGUCUAGAGCUGCCCCUGGAUGUGAGGGAUUAUUGUAGGACUUGUGCAGUAUCUCAGGAGAGGAAGAAAUCGGGGGGUGGGGGUCCCCAGAUUGCUCCGCUGCAUCGCCUGCCAGUCAUCCAGAAGGCAUUUCAAAGAGUGGCAAUGGACAUAGUGGGCCCUAUGCCACGCCCCACACAGAGGGGGAACAAAUAUAAUUUAGUGGUAGUAGACUUUGCCACUCGGUAUCCUGAGGCAAUCGUGCUGUCUAACAUAGAAGCUGAAACAGUGGCAAGAGCCCUGCUCACCAUAUUCAGCAGAGUGGGCUUUCCUAAGGAGAUUUUGUCUGAUCGGGGGGACAAAUUUUAUGUCACAGUUGUUCAAUGAGCUAUGGUGUGUGGAGUGAAAGAGCUUAAGACUACCCCUUACUACCUCCAGGCCAAUGAGCUGGUGGAAAGGUUCAAUGGGACCCUAAAAUCAGUGCUGGGGAAGUAUGUCAAGAAAAGGGGCCACAGCUGGGACAAACUAUUGCCAUUCCUGCUGUAUGCCUAUGGGGAGUUACCUCAAGAGUCCAUGGGCUUUUCUCCAUUUGACCUUCUGUAUGGAAGAAAAGUGAGGGGUCCCCUUGAUCUCGUCAGGGAUACCUGGGAAGGGUGCAAUAUGGUAAGGGAGGAAUCCAUGAAUGAGUAUGUCCAGAGUUCAGGAGGGAGCUGAAAGACUUGAUGGAACUUGUCCAAAACAACUUCCAGAGCAGUCAGGCCAAGCAAAAGGCAUGGUAUGGUGGUAAUACUUCUAAAUGCACUUUUGACAUAGGGGAUUUGGUCAUGAACUUUUUGGCAGGGCUGAGUACCAACAUGCAAAACUCUUGGGAGGGCCCUUUGAAGUGGUGGAAGUGCCGAGUGAGGACACUUACAAAGUUAAAAAGCCCCUGGAUGAUGCUGUGCCCCAACUGGUGCAUGUAAACAGACUCAAGGGUUAUCACAGUAGAGUGGCUGGAGUAAACGUGAUCUGUUGAGCCAAAGAGGAAACUGAGGCACACCCACUCACUGAUCUGAUAGCUGAAUGCCAAUAUGGGUCAACCCUGGAAAGUAUGGAAAUCUGUAGUGAGCUGACACCAGUUGAAAGGGAGGAAGUGUUUUCAGUGCUGCAGAAAUACAGCGAGGUAUUUUCCAACAAACCAGGGAGGACACGCUUGCUGUCCCAUAGAAUCCUCAUGAAAGGGGCUCAGCCUCCUCCUUCUUGGCCUUACAGGGCCAUCGGCAAGGUGAAGGAGAAAAUUCGGGCUGAGAUACAAAGCAUGUUGGAUGGGGCGUGAUUAAGAAAUCUGACAAUGCAUGGGCUUCCCCUGGGGUCUUAGUCCCCAAAAGGGAUGGCACAGUUAAAUUUUGUGUGGACUAUAGGAAACUCAAUGCUGUCACUAUAAUAAAUGCAUGCUCCAUGCCAAGAAUUGAUGAUAUGCUGGAUAUGCUAAGCCAAGCCAAGUACCUUUGAUCUGACUGGCAGAUCCCUUUGGAGGGGGAGGCACAACAAAAAUCAGCUUUUAUCACUGACAUAGGGCUCUAUAAAUUUAGUGUUACCUUUUGGUCUGGUAAAUGCUGGUGCAACCUUCCAGAGACUGGUCAACAGAGUGUUUAAAUGGUUUGCAGAAUUAUGUGAGGGCGUACAUAGAUGAUAUUGCUGUAUUCAGCAACACUGGGGUCACCACAAGGAGCACCUGGAAGUUAUGCUAUCAAAGCUCAAAGAAGCUGGGCUAACCGUGAAGCCCUCUAAGUGCAAGACAGGGGCAGCCAAAGUCCCUUAUCUGGGACACUGCAGGGGGGGCCUAAAAUAUCCCCUGACCCUCUUAAGGUGGAAGCCAUCGUAAAAUGGCCUAUACCCCAGACUAAAAGGCAAGUCCAAUCCUUCAUAGGCUUGGCAAACUAUUACAGGAGGUUUGUGGAGGAGUUCAGUGACAUUGUAUCCCCAAUCACGGACCUAUGUAAAAAGCAUCAACCUAAUAAGAUAAUUUGGUCAGAGGCGUGCCAGAAAGGCUUCAACAAGUUAAAAGCACUCCUGUCUGCAGAGCCUGUGCUGGCCAGCUCUGACUCCGAAAAACCCUUUGAAUUGUGUACUGUGCAUCCGACACAGGAUUGGGUGCUGCGCUGAUGCAGAUAGGGGGAGACAGCAAGAAGCAUCCCAUUGCCUUCCUAGGCAAAAAGCUGUCCCUUGCUGAACAGCAUUACUCUGUCAUGGAGAAAGAGUGCUAUGCCAUUGUGUGGUCAGUCAAACAACUAAGGAGGUUCAGGAUUCUAACUGACCAUUCACCUUUGGUAUGGCUUCACCUGACUAAGGGCACAAACUCCAAGCUGCUACGCUGGAGCCUGGUCCUACAGGAAUUUGACAUGGAGAUUGUGCAUAUUAAAGGAAAGGAGAACUGGGUAGCAGAUGCCUUAGCCAGAAAAGAGGAAUUUUAGAUGUACUACCUCUGCCAUGGACAGUGUCCAAGUCUCUGGCAGUAAGUUCAGGAGGAGGGUGUGACACUGUGCCUCAUAAUGCUUUAUGGGAAUGUGACCUAACUGGAAUAGAUUUUGUGCUGCUUGUGCCAUGUAACAUAUCUCUGUAAAGGUUAUGGGCUACUAUAUCUAUUCAUUCUAUUUGUACACAUACAUCAUUUUGUACUUGAGGUUAAGAAUAUUGGCUGUACGCUUGCUUGAUUUCUAAGUAAGCUUUGUGAGGCAUUUGAUCAGCUUCUUUAGGAAGGAAUUCACAAGGUUAAGUACACAAUCAGGAAGCACUUGGGGAACAAUGCAUCUUGGAAUGCUCCAAUCCACAUAAGUCUUCCUGGAGACAUACAAGAUACCAUGUGGACAGUGGCUUCUGCCUGUAAAGACUGAGAGUCAUGCAUAGACAUGUGACUUGCCCAGGUGACUCCAGAACCCCAUCCUGGAGCUGGACUUUGCAUAGGAGUGAGAAGAGGGGAACCCUCCAUUUGGGCUUCAGCUGGCUAAAGAAGGAGCCUCUCCACCUCGCAGGAUAUUUGAAAGAAACUGGAACAAAGGACCAUAACCACAGGGGGUGUGAGUGAUUGCUGGACCCAGGCUAAAAGGAGAUUAAUCUGUAAAAGGGAGCAUUCUGGAACUGCCGAAACGCCAGUCACAGAGGGAGGGUUGUGUCCGACUGAUUGCCUCAGCUCUUGUGCGGUGGACGACCCGGACAUUCUACUGUGCCUGGUGAUGUGUACAGGAGGAACACAGAUCAGAUCGGCUGCUGGACCAGAAUCCCUCAAUCUCAGCUGCAUGGUGGAAGUUCGGAGAAUUCUGAGGGUACUGUUACAGAAUUUCUGCAGGCUUUAUACAGGAUGUAGUUACUGGAAUACCAAAACAUUGAGUGCUGGCUGGUCUCUUCAAAGUAAAUCUGAAAUGUGCCGAAAGUCAGACUAUUCUGGUAAAAUGUCUAGAAGAUACCACUACAAAGAAGUGGUUGCAAGGUAAUCUAAAGAGCCGUGAACCUGAUUUUGUCUUGUCAAUUGUAUAGAAUAGAAAUGAUUACCUUUCUUUCCAAAGUAAAAAUGUUAAUAUGAAUUUAGUGUUCAUGGGGUAUUGGAUUGACAGUCCUGAGGACCAAAGUUGUUUAAACAGAACAGAAAGUGGGAUUUCAAGUUUAGUUUAAUUGCCCUGACCAUUUCCAUCCUUGCUAUGUGUGCUACUAACAAGGGUGCUAAUUGUAAUGGCUUUAGAGAUGCCUGUUUACUGGGAAUUAGAGUGAAACUUCUCCAUUCAUUCCAUAUAGGCUACUCAAGUGAUAGUAAUUUCCAGUUGUUUCUAGUGAAAGACACUCUGUAUCCUGUUACCAAUCCCCUGAACCAAUCCCCCCAAGAAUAGUUCUUCUACUAUUAGCCUUUUUACUUAUUAGCCUGUGUAUUAAAGCACAUAUGAGUGAUCACUCUUUGUAUUCUUACCUGUUUACAACAAUCCAACUACAACUGAGAUUGCUGAGACUCAAGUUGUAUUGGUAUAAUUAAAACAAUACAGAUAAUGUUGUACAACCUCAGUAGUAUAGAUGCAGUUAAACCACUGAGUGCUUUAGCAAUAUAGCUGUAUUCCUCCACAGGAAGGAAGAUAAGCCAUCCAAGUGUGACAGGUGCUAUAGACACAUGCAACAUCUUUGAGAGUAUUGUUUCAACUUUAUUAAAGUUACCUGUAGCUCUGAGCCAGGGAUUGCAUGCCAGCUCCAUGAGUUGCUAACUCCCUCCAGAACUAAAACCAGCACGUGUGUGGGUAAUUACUACAGACCCUGGGACAGGUAAGCAACUCCGGAGAACUUCUGAAUGCUAGGUGACCUGCAUAUACUGGUUCUGGCUGAGUUCCAGAAGAUAGAGAGAGGCUUUUGAUAUACAGGCUCAGCUGAAAUUGACUGAGAAGUACUUGAUCUAAAAACUGACACAAACUGUUAAACAAGAGAGCAAACUCAGCUGUAAAGUUUGAAGGACUUUGGAAUUUAACAGUGUUCUCCUGUGGAAUUUGGGUGACAUUUGGUAAGCUUAGCAUUCAUUUAGACAAUUUAUUUUGUUUUUUGGACUAAGGCAUUAGAGAACUUAUAAAUGUGGUUGGCAGGCUCUUGAACUGCAGCUUAAAUCCCUGGGUUGGAUGGAGAGAGUUGUGUAAGGCUAAGAUUUUGUCAUGGAUAUUUUUAG
Long non-coding RNA from Gopherus flavomarginatus (Mexican gopher tortoise), 7542 nucleotides. RefSeq lists it as uncharacterized. Lineage: Eukaryota; Metazoa; Chordata; Testudines; Testudinidae. The transcript has 3 exons. The record is from RefSeq and is a predicted model, not a curated record.